CCUUGACAUGCAGAGAACUUUCCAGAGAUGGAUUGGUGCCUUCGGGAGCUCUGACACAGGUGCUGCAUGGCUGUCGUCAGCUCGUGUCGUGAGAUGGUUGGGUUAAGUCCCGUAACGAGCGCAACCUUGUCCUUAGUUACCAGCACGUUAAGGUGGGCACUCUAAGGAGACUGCCGGUGACAAACCGGAGGAAGGUGGGGAUGACGUCAAGUCAUCAUGGCCCUUACGGCCUGGGCUACACACGUGCUACAAUGGUCGGUACAAAGGGUUGCCAAGCCGCGAGGUGGAGCUAAUCCCAUAAAACCGAUCGUAGUCCGGAUCGCAGUCUGCAACUCGACUGCGUGAAGUCGGAAUCGCUAGUAAUCGUGAAUCAGAAUGUCACGGUGAAUACGUUCCCGGGCCUU
RNAcentral lists this ribosomal RNA (404 nucleotides) under uncultured Pseudomonas sp. RNAcentral's name for it is "bacterial SSU rRNA". It matches the Rfam family "Bacterial small subunit ribosomal RNA", at positions 979 to 1382 of the family's 1533-position model. Lineage: Bacteria; Pseudomonadati; Pseudomonadota; Gammaproteobacteria; Pseudomonadales; Pseudomonadaceae. The record is from RNAcentral.